Molecule: ribosomal RNA, 279 nt
Filed under: uncultured bacterium
Lineage: Bacteria
Description: partial 16S ribosomal RNA
Rfam family: Bacterial small subunit ribosomal RNA
Source: RNAcentral
UGCCAGCAGCCGCGGUAAUACGGAGGGGGUUAGCGUUGUUCGGAAUUACUAGGCGUAAAGCGCGCGUAGGCGGAUUGGUUAGUUGGGGGUGAAAUCCCGGAGCUUAACUCCGGAACUGCCUUCAAAACUGCCAGUCUUGAGUCCGAGAGAGGUGAGUGGAAUUCCUAGUGUAGAGGUGAAAUUCGUAGAUAUUAGGAAGAACACCAGUGGCGAAGGCAUCUCUCUGGACCGAUAUUGACGCUGAGGCGCGAAGGCGUGGGUAGCGAACAGGAUUAGAUA